GACGAACGCUGGCGGCGUGCUUAACACAUGCAAGUCGAACGGUAAGGCCCUUCGGGGUACACGAGUGGCGAACGGGUGAGUAACACGUGGGUGAUCUGCCCUGCACUUCGGGAUAAGCCUGGGAAACUGGGUCUAAUGCCGGAUAGGACCACUGCCUGCAUGGGUGGUGGUGGAAAGCUUUUGCGGUGUGGGAUGGGCCCGCGGCCUAUCAGCUUGUUGGUGGGGUGAUGGCCGACCAAGGCGACGACGGGUAGCCGGCCUGAGAGGGUGACCGGCCACACUGGGACUGAGAUACGGCCCAGACUCCUACGGGAGGCAGCAGUGGGGAAUAUUGCACAAUGGGCGCAAGCCUGAUGCAGCGACGCCGCGUGAGGGAUGACGGCCUUCGGGUUGUAAGCCUCUUUCAGCACCGACGAAGCGCAAGUGACGGUAGGUGCAGAAGAAGGACCGGCCAACUACGUGCCAGCAGCCGCGGUAA
RNAcentral lists this ribosomal RNA (478 nucleotides) under uncultured bacterium. RNAcentral's name for it is "partial 16S ribosomal RNA". It matches the Rfam family "Bacterial small subunit ribosomal RNA", at positions 28 to 523 of the family's 1533-position model. The record is from RNAcentral.